This 169-nucleotide microRNA precursor is filed under the name Physcomitrium patens. RNAcentral's name for it is "Physcomitrella patens miR319a stem-loop (ppt-MIR319a)". Its record names the gene ppt-MIR319a. The record is from miRBase by way of RNAcentral. Lineage: Eukaryota; Viridiplantae; Streptophyta; Bryopsida; Funariales; Funariaceae.
GUGGAGCUCCGUUUCGGUCCAAUAGUGGCUGCGACGGAAGGUGGUCCCGCUGCCGAAUCACACGUCCGGGUUGCUUAUCGGGGCAGGGCCCCGAUACGGUAUCCGAACGUUUGUCCCGGGAACUGGUCGACCUUCCGCCCGGCGUCUCUUGGACUGAAGGGAGCUCCAC